GGCUCAGAAUCAACGCUGGCGGCGUGCCUAACACAUGCAAGUCGGACGAGAAAGUGGGGGCAACCCUGCGAGUACAGUGGCAGACGGGUGAGUAACACGUGAACAACCUACCCUUGAGUGGGGAAUAACACCGCGAAAGCGGUGCUAAUACCGCAUAAAAUCUUAUAGCUGCAUGGCUUAGAGAUCAAAAGCGAGAGUUGCUUGAGGAGGGGUUCGCGGCUGAUUAGCUAGUUGGUGAGGUAACGGCCCACCAAGGCAACGAUCAGUAGCCGGCCUGAGAGGGCGAACGGCCACACUGGAACUGAGACACGGUCCAGACUCCUACGGGAGGCAGCAGUGGGGAAUUUUGCGCAAUGGGCGAAAGCCUGACGCAGCAACGCCGCGUGGAGGAUGAAGGCCUUCGGGCCGUAAACUCCUGUCGAUGGGGACGAAGUACUAGCGAUAGUAUUGACUGUACCCGUUGAGGAAGCCACGGCUAACUCCGUGCCAGCAGCCGCGGUAAUACGGAGGUGGCAAGCGUUGUUCGGAAUUACUGGGCGUAAAGGGCGCGUAGGCGGCCUGACAAGUCAGAUGUGAAAGCCCCGGGCUCAACUCGGGAAUUGCAUCUGAAACUGUUGGGCUUGAGUUCUGGAGGGGAUGGUGGAAUUCCCAGUGUAGCGGUGAAAUGCGUAGAUAUUGGGAGGAACACCUGCGGCGAAGGCGGCCAUCUGGACAGUGACUGACGCUGAGGCGCGAAAGCUAGGGGAGCGAACGGGAUUAGAUACCCCGGUAGUCCUAGCUGUAAACGAUGGGCACUUGGUGUUGGGGGUAUUGAGUCCCUCGGUGCCGGAGCUAACGCGAUAAGUGCCCCGCCUGGGGAGUACGGUCGCAAGACUGAAACUCAAAG
RNAcentral lists this ribosomal RNA (886 nucleotides) under uncultured bacterium. Its description in RNAcentral is "bacterial SSU rRNA". It matches the Rfam family "Bacterial small subunit ribosomal RNA", at positions 21 to 906 of the family's 1533-position model. The record is from RNAcentral.